This 370-nucleotide non-coding RNA is filed under the name Rhizobium sp. The record is from RNAcentral. Lineage: Bacteria; Pseudomonadati; Pseudomonadota; Alphaproteobacteria; Hyphomicrobiales; Rhizobiaceae.
CGUCGCAUGAUUUUGCAUGGUUCCCUGGUCGUGAGACGACCGGGGAUGAAAAGGGAAUGUGGAAGGACGGACCCAAGCCGGGCGUCCCCAUCACAGCCGACCCCGCGACUGUAGAACGGUCAGGGGCAUUCGUCGGGUGUCGACCCGUCUUUCCUGAUGGCGCUGCAUGGUGCAGGCCCGGGAAAGUCAGGGAAGCCAUCGGAAAAGCCACUGGCAUGGCAAUGUGAUCAACCGGGGUUGGACGCCUCUCAAGUCUACGAAUCGUCCGCCUUUUCAUGAUUGCCGCCGGGAAGGCGAGAAUGCCCCGCCGGCGCUGCUUCGAGCGCCUGAGACCGCGAGCCAGGAGACCUGCCGUGCUGCCGGGCAUCAU